AUCAUAUCUAACUACCCUAAAUCAUAUCUUCAUUUUGAAUACUUUGAAUCAUAUCUCAACACUCCCCCAUGAUUCAAAGUUGCAGAUGUAAGUACAGAGCUUUUCUUCUGACAAGACCUUUGUAAAUUUUUCAUCAAGCUUUUGACGAGUUUGAGGAUGUUUCAAAGCAUAAGCAACACAACCAAAGAUUCGUAAAUGACUUACAGAUGGUUUCCUUCCAUGCCAUGCUUCAUAAGGAGUUUGAUUCAUAACCGCCUUUGUUGGUGAGAUGUUUAAUAGAUAAACAGAUGUUGCUACGGCUUCGGCCCAAAAUUGGUUUGGAAGUCUCCUUGCUUGUAACAUA
This is a long non-coding RNA of Cucurbita moschata (crookneck pumpkin), 343 nucleotides long. RefSeq lists it as uncharacterized. NCBI's taxonomy places the organism in Eukaryota, Viridiplantae, Streptophyta, Magnoliopsida, Cucurbitales, Cucurbitaceae. The record is from RefSeq and is a predicted model, not a curated record. The transcript is spliced from 2 exons.